UGGGCAGCGUGAGCGGCGUGGGCUGCAUUGGACUGUUGCACAGCUGCAGCCAGGAGCUGCGCCUGAGCCUGCUGCAGCAACAUCUGCUGCUGCGCAGGCAACAGAGCUGUCAACUGGUGAGGAGGAGAGGAGAGGAGAGGAGAGGAGAGGAGAGGAGAGGAGAGGAGAGAAUUGAGAUUCAAGAGAAAAGAAUGGAAUGACCAGGAAGACACAAAGAGGGAAACAAAGUGUUCAAAAAGAAGCACAAGAGAAGCAAGCACGAUGAGAGAGCGAUAUCAAAUCGUAAUUUCCCCCGCCACCUUAUUGAUGACACAGAGAAAUGACACAGAAAAUACUCUUAUAUAGGAUUUUCUGCAAUUCCCAAAAAACCAUGUGGUCAAGCCUGGUUUUCACCAUUGGGGGGCAGCAGUGACACAUGGAAGAGAGGAGGAACUGACCUGAAGCUGAUUCUGAAUGAUCGAACCAUGAGUCCAGUGCAGCCUUUGAUAAAGAUGAAAACCUGCUCCCUGAUAAGAUGCAGAAACACGUUUGUGUCAGUGAGACAGAUUGCGAGAAGAGCUGACAUUUGGUGUGUACUGCGUCUUUAGGGGAAGGGGGAAGUUGCGAUGGGCUCUAAAAAGCUCCACUCUGCCGCCAUAUCGGUCAUAACCUUGGGGUCAACACACACACAAACACACACUGACCGCAGGAUUUCCCUCUUAUAAAUGGACUUCUGCAAAAAGCCUUGGGUCACUAACCAUGCAGGAUGCAAACAUCUGGUUAAUCUAUCAUUAGGGGCCAAGUUUGUGGGUAUUCCAACAUGACGUACAGCUCCUGAUUUGAUGCUAUAUAAAACUAGCAGCUGUUCGCGAAACCCCAAAAUGUCCGAUGUUUCCACUUUCCGGUCAAAUCUUCCCCCAAAUGUAGCUUCUUCCUCUCAAGGAUUCCCAUAAUUAAAACAUUGUAAACGCACUGUGAAUGUCACUUCUUCUACAUUGGACUACCCUGUGCUCCGUGCGUGCAACAAUAAAGCCAAAUGCACCUCGUACAAUGAUUGUCCGGCUUGUAAAAACAGCUGUUAAGUGAAGUUUUUCUUGUAUCUGUGGAUGAUGCCCGUUCGCAGGGUAAGAUGAGUUAUGAUUCACGGCUGGAAAUGGCCGACAGGCAGUGGCAUGGUGGAUAAUGUGGUCAGUAAUACAGUGGUGGGACAGUAUAUCAAGUUGCUGUGUCUUUUUCUCACUUCCCCUCCCGACUUCCCCUUGUACCGGGUUGAGAGCAGAGUGCUAAACCCAACACUUACUGUCAGUGAGGCUAUUAAUAUUAGCCUGCCUUCUCUCUCUCUCACUCUCGUUCACUCCAUCUUUUUAAAACCUCCCCCCCCCCUUUUACAACAUCGCCGCACACGAACACGCAGCAAAUUUUCACGUGACACAGAGCAGAGUUACAUGUUGUAAAUGCUUUUACAGUUUAAGUUGUUGGCACUGAAUAAGCACGAUAAUAAAAGGCUUUAUCUCUUUA
Molecule: long non-coding RNA, 1497 nt
Organism: Hippoglossus stenolepis (Pacific halibut)
Lineage: Eukaryota; Metazoa; Chordata; Actinopteri; Pleuronectiformes; Pleuronectidae
Exons: 2
Source: RefSeq, a predicted model, not a curated record